CUGUAAUGAUGACAACUUAGGACACCUUUGAAUUGAUAAUGAAAAGAACUGAAUGUUUUGCUGAGCAGC
Myxocyprinus asiaticus (Chinese sucker) is the source of this 69-nucleotide small nucleolar RNA. RefSeq annotates it as small nucleolar RNA SNORD58. The record is from RefSeq and is a predicted model, not a curated record. The transcript has a single exon. NCBI's taxonomy places the organism in Eukaryota, Metazoa, Chordata, Actinopteri, Cypriniformes, Catostomidae.